UCGGGGCAUGUCAAAGCUAGUUUCCAUAUAGGGACACUGACCUACGCAAAUUAAUAUCUAGUAUCUAUUUCUGAAAAAGCCAGCAACCUAUUUGGAGUUAUCUUUGGUUGUGGUAAUGUAGAUAGCGACGUAUUGUUCAACGUUAACUUAUUAGAGUGAGUGAUGAUCAAACGCAAGACGGACUGCACUAAUUUACGUUGUGUUGUUGACCUGACAUAUUGGGAUAUUUCACAUAAGACAAAGGUUCACGACCGCCAUAAAAGCGUUUGCUGAAAUAAUUAUGGCGCACAGAAUUUUGGAUCUAUUUAAUGUCACAAGAACAUCAUUUAUGCAAGUGUGCGAAGAAAUUUUAGAUUUCCUUAGGCAAUCUGAAACCAUCACUAAAGGUGUUGACGAUAUAUUUCGUUACGCUGCUGGAAAAAUCGAAGUUCCAGAAAUACCAGUGUGUCAUGUUGAACUUUCGCAGAAGAAACUUGACGCGGUUAUGACAAUGUUAAAGAGAAGCCAUGUAAAGAUUACAAUUUUCGGAAGGAAUUCAUGUGGAAAAAGCACAGUGAUUAAUGCGCUUCUGGGAAGUGACGUGCUGCCAAUGGGAAUGGGUCAUGUGACUAACUGUUUUGUGCAUAUGCAGGGAAAAGAUCUACAAGAAGGAUUUGUAGAGACUGAAAAUGAGCCCGGCGUCCAGACACCC
Molecule: long non-coding RNA, 691 nt
Organism: Dreissena polymorpha
Lineage: Eukaryota; Metazoa; Mollusca; Bivalvia; Myida; Dreissenidae
Exons: 4
Source: RefSeq, a predicted model, not a curated record